CAGAUCAAGAUUGGAAUAUUGUCAAGGCAGUUGCCACCAAUCAUGCGAAUUAUAGGUGGAAUCAAAACCAGCACUUGCUACUCGGUUAAAGCUUGACACUU
This is a long non-coding RNA of Populus euphratica (Euphrates poplar), 101 nucleotides long. RefSeq lists it as uncharacterized. The transcript is spliced from 3 exons. The record is from RefSeq and is a predicted model, not a curated record. NCBI's taxonomy places the organism in Eukaryota, Viridiplantae, Streptophyta, Magnoliopsida, Malpighiales, Salicaceae.